UCUAGGUUCGGGACAACCACUGGAAACGGUGGCUAAUACCGGGUGUGCCGAGAGGUGAAAGGUUAACUGCCUGGAAUGACUUCGCGUCUGAUUAGCUAGUUGGUGGUGUAAGAGGACUACCAAGGCGACGAUCAGUAGCUGGUCUGAGAGGAUGAUCAGCCACACUGGAACUGAGACACGGUCCAGACUCCUACGGGAGGCAGCAGUGGGGAAUUUUCCGCAAUGGGCGAAAGCCUGACGGAGCAAUACCGCGUGAGGGAGGAAGGCUCUUGGGUUGUAAACCUCUUUUCUCAGGGAAUAAGCUGUGAAGGUACUUGAGGAAUCAGCAUCGGUUAACUCCGUGCCAGCAGCCGCGGUAAACGAGGGAUGCAAGCGUUAUCCGAAAUGAUUGGCCGUAAAGCGCCCAAAGGUGGUUGUGUGUGUCUAUUUAAAAAGUGUGGUUCACCCAGAUAAGGGCGGUAAAAACUACACCUAGAGUGCUUUCGGGGCAGAGAAAAUUCCUGGUGUAGCGGAGAAACGCGUAUAUACUCAGAAAAACACCAGUGGCAAAGCUCUCUCUGUGCCGC
This 566-nucleotide ribosomal RNA is filed under the name uncultured Westiellopsis sp. RNAcentral describes it as "bacterial SSU rRNA". It matches the Rfam family "Bacterial small subunit ribosomal RNA", at positions 131 to 737 of the family's 1533-position model. Lineage: Bacteria; Bacillati; Cyanobacteriota; Cyanophyceae; Nostocales; Hapalosiphonaceae. The record is from RNAcentral.